This 1482-nucleotide ribosomal RNA is filed under the name Triticum aestivum (bread wheat). RNAcentral's name for it is "partial small subunit ribosomal RNA". Lineage: Eukaryota; Viridiplantae; Streptophyta; Magnoliopsida; Poales; Poaceae. The record is from RNAcentral.
AUGAGGAAGGCGGCGGUGGCGGCGGUCGCGGCGGCGGCGGCGGUGGGGGUGGCGCUGCUGGCGCGGCGCCAGAUGCGGGAGGCCAAGCGGUGGGGCCGCGCCGACGCGGUGCUGCGGGGCCUCGAGGAGCGCUCCGCCGCGCCGCCGGCCCGGCUGCGCCAGGUGGCCGACGCCAUGGCCGUCGAGAUGCACGCCGGGCUCGCCUCCGAGGGCGGCAGCAAGCUCGGGAUGAUCAUCAGCUACGUCGACUCCCUCCCCUCGGGGCAAGAGAAGGGGCUAUUUUAUGCACUUGACCUUGGAGGGACAAAUUUUCGCGUUUUACGUGUUCAAUUAGGAGGCAAGGAAGGGCGAGUUGUGAAGCAAGAAUGUGAUGAGAUCUCAAUCCCGGCACACUUAAUGACUGGGACCUCGCAAGAACUAUUUGAUUUUAUUGCCGCUGCUUUGGCAAAAUUUGUUGCCUCAGAGGGUGAAGACUUUCAUCUUCUUGAGGGAAGGCAAAGAGAGCUUGGUUUUACUUUCUCUUUUCCAGUAAAGCAGUCUUCAAUUGCAUCCGGAACUCUUAUCAAGUGGACUAAGGGUUUUUCUAUUGAUGAAACGGUAGGCGCAGAUGUGGUGGCUGAAUUAAGCAGUGCUCUAGACCGUCAGGGGCUUGAUAUGAAAGUGACAGCACUGGUAAAUGAUACUAUAGGAACAUUGGCUGGGGGCAGAUAUGAUGACAAUGAUGUCGUUGCUGCUGUUAUUCUGGGUACAGGUACCAAUGCAGCAUACGUGGAACGUGCCAAUGCAAUUCCUAAAUGGCAUGGCCUCCUUCCCAAGUCAGGAGAUAUGGUAAUAAAUAUGGAAUGGGGGAACUUCAGAUCGUCCCAUCUUCCUUUGACUGAAUUUGAUCAAGCAUUAGAUGCAGAAAGCCUGAAUCCUGGUGAACAGAUUUAUGAAAAGCUGAUCUCUGGUAUGUAUUUGGGGGAAAUUGUAAGAAGAGUCUUGUUAAAGAUGACUGAAGAAGCUUCUCUUUUUGGUGAUGAUAUACCACCAAAACUAAAGAUCCCAUUUAUUCUUAGGACGCCACAUAUGUCAAUGAUGCACCAUGACACGUCACCUGAUCUCAGAACAGUUGGAGCCAAACUGAAAGAUGUCCUAGGGAUCCAGGGCACCUCACUUAAAACGAGACGGCUAGUUGUGGACGUAUGCGACAUCGUUGCAAAGCGUGGGGCGCGCCUUGCUGCUGCAGGGAUACACGGGGUCCUCAAAAAGCUUGGACGGGACAUCCCCGGCAGCGACAAGCACAGGACGGUUAUUGCCAUGGACGGUGGGCUCUACGAGCACUACACAAUCUUCAGCGAAACCCUGGAGAACACCCUGCGCGAGAUGCUAGGGGAGGAAGUAUCCUCCUCCGUUGUCAUCAAGCUCGCGAACGACGGGUCAGGUAUCGGGGCCGCUCUCCUCGCUGCAGCUCAUUCUCAGUACCUCGAGGCCGAGGUCUGA